GGAGCCUGGCCAGUCUUGGCAGGGGCAGAGCUGAGGGCUGACAUCAGCCUGGCCAGAUGAGCCCGUGCAUGCGCUGGCACCCAAAUCACCCCCCCUUCACUUCUGGGGUGACAGAAGACAUAUGAGCCAUGAACAAGAUCAUAUAUUGAUCUUUCACAGCAUGUAAUUUAUGGAAAUGGCACUUAAUGUAUGUAGAUAAAAGUGACAUUUCUCCUGGACUGUUUAUCUCCAGAGUGUCUUGCAAAAGGAUCACAUUAUGACUCUGCAUAGCAAGAACGUGUAUUCUCUCAACCCUCCAGACCAUACACUUGUUUGUUGUCAGCACAAGCCAUUUAGUUACUAAUUCCCAGGGUUAAUAUACAAUAUCAGGCUAUUACACUACAUUGUAUCACACUUGCUGAAUGACAUUAUGUUUGGCUUAUAUUUAAUUUCAGCUCCAUUUCUAAUUGUUCUGUGGUGGAGUUACAUGACCGAACAGGGCUGUGGAUGUUAUCUGCUGUGCUUGUAAUGCACUGACUGGCUUCUAGCUCAUCCUUUGCCUCCAUCUGUUUCUCUACUGCUCCCAUUGAGCCCACACAACUAUCUCCAGAAGUGAAUAUGAAAGAUGCAGGAAUGAGACUCUACUCCCCAAGCAGAUCAUGACUGAGGACUGUGAGUAGACAGUCUCCUUGGGCUCCCUCCCACCAGUGCAAGGCAUGUAAGCAAUGAGACCAAAGGAGUCCUCCUGGGUUGUGGUGACCAAGCCCAGCUAAUGCAAGCAGGCAUGUCACAUAAACCUGUCCAUAAAGGCAUCUGACAGCCUGCCCUCAUUACUGCUGUGAAGAGACUCUCCAAAAAUCCACUCCUCUAAUGGUCUGGAAAUCAUCCAAGGUCAAGAAUCGAAUGCAGAGGCAGCUCUAAGACUGGGUCUAGCAUGGAGUCAAGAGUAGGAUGCUGUGGUCCUUGCAUCAGCAGAGGGGUCUGCACAGCCACACUUUGCCUGGGGCAGGCUUCCAUCCUAACACCAAGGGAACAGAAGGCAAACAGGCAUUGGUCCUGAGAACAGGCAGUAACAAAAUUAAGCUGGGCCAUCCGAGGAUUGCUCAGUGCCUGCCAUCCCACCAACUACAGGAGGAUACUGGGAGAGGCUGAGAGCUUGAAAAUCAAAACAAAAUCAUGGUGACAGAAAACCACCAAUCAGCCCUAAGCAACUCUCCACUUGUCUCCAGAAAUCUAAGCCUGGGAUUGAUUUAAAUAUGUCUAGAAAUGAGCAGCCAGGUGUUCAGCCUGUUCUUUUCUGUGGGAUCAGGUAUCCCUCUUUUCCAGUGGGUUAAAGCUGUCCAUCUCCUCCUGUCCCUGAUCUGAUAAAGUCAGUGUUGCUAGAAUGCCAAACCUCCUCCCUGAGGUUCUCGGUGGGUUCUGGUUCCUGCUGCAUGUCUGUGAUGGGAAGGUCUGAGACCUCCCCAGCUCAUUUCAUGUGCUGCAGAGCUCAUCUCUCCAGCCUGCCAAGGGGGAGAGGGACAGAUUAACACUGAGAAAAGGCUUUUAUGGGGGAGCAAAGCAGCAAGAAGCAAUGUGUAGCUUACAUCAGUAUUGGAUGCAGAUUCCUGUGAGUGUGUAACUUGCUCCCAGCCUGGAAGCUGGUGUCACCAGUGUUCAAGCGUUCAAAAAAGCUUUUUACUGCUGCCCCUUUCUGGGUGCUUUUGUGGAAGGGGAGGAUAGAGAAUUGGCAGCAUGUUGGUAGAGAGCCGGGAGAGGGGGGAAUGAGGGUUUAAAGCUUGAAUCCUAUCGAGUUCAUUCCUCUGACAGCUUCAAGAAGGGGAAGAGACACCCCC
Molecule: long non-coding RNA, 1814 nt
Organism: Neopsephotus bourkii (Bourke's parrot)
Lineage: Eukaryota; Metazoa; Chordata; Aves; Psittaciformes; Psittacidae
Exons: 5
Source: RefSeq, a predicted model, not a curated record